Molecule: ribosomal RNA, 59 nt
Filed under: Alternaria alternata
Lineage: Eukaryota; Fungi; Ascomycota; Dothideomycetes; Pleosporales; Pleosporaceae
Also listed under: 28 other names
Description: partial large subunit rRNA
Rfam family: Eukaryotic large subunit ribosomal RNA
Source: RNAcentral
UUUGACCUCGGAUCAGGUAGGGAUACCCGCUGAACUUAAGCAUAUCAAUAAGCGGAGGA